Molecule: unclassified non-coding RNA, 2128 nt
Filed under: Homarus americanus (American lobster)
Lineage: Eukaryota; Metazoa; Arthropoda; Malacostraca; Decapoda; Nephropidae
Description: tHO complex subunit 6 homolog, transcript variant X2
Source: RNAcentral
ACGACAAGUCAAAGUACGAUAUUCUCCCUUGACCGGUACGAUAACUUGGGGCCGGUGGGAGGAGAGGCGUUGGGGAGCGGUUCAUUAGUGUAAACAAACCGAGGUGACGCCGGCCAUCUGUACCCUCUCUUGACACAAUGGUCUUAAGUGCAUUAAAGAACCUCUACACCACCACAUUUAGCCAAGCCAGUUCCCCUGAGUCGGCUAUACUGGCUGUUGGAAAUAAUGAUGGAAAAAUUGCUGUUUUUGAUUUAUCAGGUGUUAAUGCUAGUCGAGAAACAAGUGUUGGUGAACGGCUGGGAGGACCAUGCAGGAUAAUUAAUGCUCAUAGUGAUGCAGUAUACUCCAUGGUGUCUACAGAUGCUUUCUGCAUUUCAGGAACCACAGGUUUAGUGACAGGUCGUCGAUGGGAUGAAUUGCAGCAGCAACAGUCCCAGGCAGCAUGGACAAUAUCUUUGGAGUGUGAUCAAGCCAAUUUUGGGACCCCUGAGGUAAACAGUCUAGCAUAUGAUCCUGGAAGGGGUCUUGUAUAUGCAGCCUGUGGUGAUUGGCGCACUCAUGUGUUUGAUCUAGAAACUGGUAAAUGUACACAGACACUGGAAGGACAUGAUGACUAUGUACAUGAUGUGGUUACAAGUGGUAACUUGGUUGCCAGUAGUGGUGAGGAUGGUCAGGUGCUGGUGUGGGAUCCUCGGGCAGGAAGGGAGCCUCGACACAAAUUGGCACCCCACACCCAUGAUCAGCUAGCUAGACCACAUCUUGGCAGAUUCAUAUCAUCUCUUGAUCUCUACAAUGACUGGCUGGUAUGUGGAGGAGGACCACGAGUGGGAAUAUUUCAUUUGAGAUCCCUGGCUUUAACAACAGUUUUGCCCUCUGCCAAGUCAGCCAUCCAUGCCACUAAAUUCACAAGACAUGCAGAAGGUGGUGAUCGAGGUGGAAUAGUGAUAGCAGGUGUAUUACCUCACCUGUGUGUGUGCAGCAUGGCUGGAGUAGUGACAGCUCAGCUUCCAUCUUCUUCUCCAUGUAUAUACACAGUUAAUGUGACUGACAAGCCUUUCACGGGAAAGUAAGCGCGGGCUGUGUGGCCUGACCUUGAGGAUGAGAAGAGCGACGUCGUGGUAGAGAGUUUGGAGGACGAAGCCCGGGUGAAGCACUAUGUCGUCCACGGCCACGUCCUGGUGACGAUGGGUCAGUGGACACUCACCCCUUCACCUUGUGAGCGGCGGUGACCACCACACGUGGAUGAAUCAGAGUGCCGCCACCCACGAACCUCCUGAGCUUCAGACCGGAAAGGCUCUCCACUCUCAAGACAGCUGCCACCCACGGGAACUCCCCAAACUGACUCUCUCCUUCUUGGAAUCCCAAGAUGCGUGCCUGCAAGAUACAAAAAACCUUAUUCAUGUAGUUACAAGAAUACAGAGAGCUAUUUCUGAUGAUAGGCUAACAGAUAUAAUCAAUAAAACUUACCUAACUAAAAGUAUAAUCAAUAUUCAUUAGAUUAGGUGAGGUGGGUUUUGUUAAGACUGGCUUGAUGAUUUCACUCUGGAUGUCAUUGAUAGUUCAGGCCAGCACCUUCCUGAUGGAUCCUUGUUUACAAGAAUCAUUUUCCAAAUCGUAGAACCAGACUUGGCCGAAUAAAUUUCAGAAAUAAUUUUCCUGUAAUCUGACAGACUAAUUAAAUUGAUAGUUUAGCCACAGAAGCAUCCCUUAAUUCUAUCAUAGGUUCAGUUCCAUCGGCAGUGUGGAAUAUUGGGCAAGUUUUUUCACGCCAUAUGUCUUAGGCCACAGUAAGUAAAACAAAAUUGUCUUAAAUUCUGUGAUCAUUGCUAAUACUGUACUGUAAUACUGUGUUCAGUUAGUAAGUAAAAUUUAAUUUGUAUAUAAUGAGGCAACUGCCAACUGACUCCUGGGUGGCCACUGGCCUGGUGGAUGACGAUUUAGUCUUUAGUAAGCCGGUCAGUGGGUUAGAAUGUCUUGGGUUCCUCUGCUUUAUCUCAAUUUAAUGAUUUAAUACGAUGCUGCGUAAAGAUUAUUAGCAGACAAGAUAUACUGUAUGCAUCUGUGCAUAUAACUGGAACCUCACUGCUGAGCUGCUAUUAAAGUUUAGUGAAAUAAAUUCACUGUAUUA